AGCAGCCGCGGUAAUUCCAGCUCCAAUAGCGUAUAUUAAAAGUUGUUGCAGUUAAAAAGCUCGUAGUUGAAUUUCGGGGACCAAUUUGUUGGUCGUGCCUCGGUACGUACUGGUAUUAUUGGUUUCUCCCUUCUGAAGAACCUCGAUGCCAUUAAUUUGGUGUCGUGGGGAAUCAGGACUGUUACUUUGAAAAAAUUAGAGUGUUUAAAGCAAGCAUACGCUUGAAUACAUUAGCAUGGAAUAAUGAAAUAGGACGUUUUGAUUCUAUUUUGUUGGUUUCUAGGAUCGACGUAAUGAUUAAUAGGGAUAGUUGGGGGGCAUUAGUAUUCAAUUGUCAGAGGUGAAAUUCUUGGAUUUAUUGAAGACUAACUACUGCGAAAGCAUUUGCCAAGGAUGUUUUCAUUAAUCAAGAACGAAAGUUAGGGGAUCGAAGACGAUCAGAUACCGUCGUAGUCUUAACCAUAAACUAUGCCGACUAGGGAUCGGAUGAUGUUAAUUUUUUUAAUGACUCAUUCGGCGC
This 520-nucleotide unclassified non-coding RNA is filed under the name uncultured Glomus. RNAcentral describes it as "SSU rRNA". It matches the Rfam family "Eukaryotic small subunit ribosomal RNA", at positions 569 to 1086 of the family's 1831-position model. Lineage: Eukaryota; Fungi; Glomeromycota; Glomeromycetes; Glomerales; Glomeraceae. The record is from RNAcentral.